AGAGUUUGAUCCUGGCUCAGAUUGAACGCUGGCGGCAGGCCUAACACAUGCAAGUCGAGCGGAUGAGUGGAGCUUGCUCCAUGAUUCAGCGGCGGACGGGUGAGUAAUGCCUAGGAAUCUGCCUGGUAGUGGGGGACAACGUUUCGAAAGGAACGCUAAUACCGCAUACGUCCUACGGGAGAAAGCAGGGGACCUUCGGGCCUUGCGCUAUCAGAUGAGCCUAGGUCGGAUUAGCUAGUAGGUGAGGUAAUGGCUCACCUAGGCGACGAUCCGUAACUGGUCUGAGAGGAUGAUCAGUCACACUGGAACUGAGACAC
Molecule: ribosomal RNA, 317 nt
Filed under: uncultured bacterium
Lineage: Bacteria
Description: bacterial SSU rRNA
Rfam family: Bacterial small subunit ribosomal RNA
Source: RNAcentral